GGGCGGUUAGCUCAGUUGGCUAGAGCGCCUGCUCGACACGCAGGAGGUCGUAGGUUCAAGUCCUAUACCGCCCA
Molecule: transfer RNA, 74 nt
Filed under: Planctomycetota bacterium
Lineage: Bacteria; Pseudomonadati; Planctomycetota
Also listed under: 2 other names
Description: Planctomycetes bacterium tRNA-Val
Rfam family: tRNA
About the family: Transfer RNA (tRNA) molecules are approximately 80 nucleotides in length. Their secondary structure includes four short double-helical elements and three loops (D, anti-codon, and T loops). Further hydrogen bonds mediate the characteristic L-shaped molecular structure. tRNAs have two regions of fundamental functional importance: the anti-codon, which is responsible for specific mRNA codon recognition, and the 3' end, to which the tRNAs corresponding amino acid is attached (by aminoacyl-tRNA synthetases). tRNAs cope with the degeneracy of the genetic code in two manners: having more than one tRNA (with a specific anti-codon) for a particular amino acid; and 'wobble' base-pairing, i.e. permitting non-standard base-pairing at the 3rd anti-codon position.
Source: RNAcentral